Molecule: ribosomal RNA, 274 nt
Filed under: uncultured bacterium
Lineage: Bacteria
Description: partial 16S ribosomal RNA
Rfam family: Bacterial small subunit ribosomal RNA
Source: RNAcentral
ACAAUGGCGUAAACAAAGGGAGGCGAAGCCGCGAGGUGGAGCAAAUCCCAAAAAUAACGUCUCAGUUCGGAUUGUAGUCUGCAACUCGACUACAUGAAGCUGGAAUCGCUAGUAAUCGCGAAUCAGAAUGUCGCGGUGAAUACGUUCCCGGGUCUUGUACACACCGCCCGUCACACCAUGGGAGUCAGCAACGCCCGAAGCCGGUGACCCAACCGAAAGGAGGGAGCCGUCGAAGGUGGGGCCGAUAACUGGGGUGAAGUCGUAACAAGGUAAC